AUCGGAAAGGUGAGGUGCGAAAUGCCUUGGCACAAGAAUCUAGUGUGGUGUUUCCUCUUCUACAGCAACUGUUGCAGACAGAUUCUCCAGUAUUCAUCAGCCAGAAGGCACUCAAGUGCUUCUCAAGUUGGGUACAGCUAGAUGUGCCCUUGUUGGAUUGUGAGUGUUUGAUGCAAGCCUCCUUUACAUCUCUACACAAUGCUGAGCUCUUUGACACAGCUGUUGAAGCCCUUGUCAAUGCCAUCUCCCAGCCAGAUGCCCAAAGAUUUCUUGCCAUCUUGCUGAAUCUUGCUGACUCUGCAGCUAUAAGGGAGAUGGGGGAGCACAGGGAGAAUUUGCUGCACAAGUGACAGAUCAUGCUAAGUCAGUAUGGACAGGUUGGGCUGAAGGGCCUGUUUGUGCUGUAUGACUGACUCUAAGGAAGCAGCACUCCUCCAGGUAGCAUGACUGUUGAGUUCAAUAAAGCAACCACUGGGCAAAUGCAAGAAUCCAACCUAAUUAACAAGUUGGAAUCUCAGAGUCUACAUACUUCAGCACAGAUUGUCCAAUAAAUUGAGAAUAAAUAUAGGUGUGCUCUGAUUGAGAUGGUUGCAUAAGAAUGCAUGGAAGCCACAGAUGACUAAUGUCCAUGUAUUCCGGUCAUGAUCAAGAAGAAACUACGUGGCACUGAGAUCAAGGAUGCUAUCUGAAAGAAAAUGACUGAUAUGGAAAUUCUGAAAAUUCAAUAAAGAAAAUACUACUUUAUCAGGGUAGCCAUCUUCUAUGUUGAGAAUUCAUGAGAUUAAAUGUGUUCCAUAUUAUGUUCGGAGACAGUUUUGUGUUUCAGUAAUAGAGUUCCACUGUGUUGGAAAUUUGGGGGAUUCAGGGUCCUCCAGAUGAGCUAAUGAACCAAUUGCUUGGGUUCAGCAAGAAUGAUCUCUGAAGGACAUCCAAGAAGCAAAAAGAAAAAAUACUUUGCAGAUCUCAUGAAAUCUAGAACAAAAUCAAGGUCAACAGUCCUCAAGCUAAAGAUCUACCAAUCUUUCAAGCCCAAAGAGAAUUCCUUUUUCUGGAAGAAUUAUGAAACUUCAAGACCACCUUCAAGUCCAUUCUUUGAGGAUUUGUUAGACUUUACA
Rhincodon typus (whale shark) is the source of this 1115-nucleotide long non-coding RNA. RefSeq lists it as uncharacterized. The transcript has 3 exons. Lineage: Eukaryota; Metazoa; Chordata; Chondrichthyes; Orectolobiformes; Rhincodontidae. The record is from RefSeq and is a predicted model, not a curated record.